AAAUAAUCCCCUACCUCUAGUUUGGUGACUAGCAUGCAAGGAAGACUCUUUUGGAAGGCUUGACAACAGCAUUCAAGAACAAGGUCCUUCAUUAUACCCCUGACCUUGAAAAUUCCAUGAAAACUUUCCAAUAUUCACUCCAUCCAUUUUCCCUCCUAUUGCACUAAAAGCUUUAGUUAUCUUAUCUUUCUUUUUCGUUGUCUCUUCAAUGUUGCCAUUCCAAGCUGAGGUCAGAUCUCUCCUAAGAGCCCCUAAUCAAAUCUGGAAGACAACAGGACUGAACACAGAGUCUUCCGAACCUGGUUCCCAGACAGAACAUGCAUAAACAAAGCCCAUGCUUGGGAAUCCAGCCCUUGCUGCUGGAGGCUGAAGGACUGACUAUGACUGUUUAUCCAGCCUUUAACUUGAUCGCAGUUCUUUAGUAUUUGACAUACUUGCCAGGGGAUCCAUGAGAAAGGCAGUCCUUUCUUUAGACCCUGAUUUAUAGUCCCCUUACAGGGCCAAGGAGCGUGCCCUACAUGUGUGGUACUCCUUGACCUGGACACGGUGCUGCCACCAGGGUGACCCAAGGUUGCAGCCAGUAUUUAAACAGUUUCCCUAAACUGCUGGCCAUCCUUACUCCUAGCCUUCCCACAUAGAUUCACAAAGCCCAGUUUCAACUACUUCCUAAUAAUGCAAUUAAAUUUUUGGAAACUGAAGCCAGGUUUCAUAUUUAAAUGUUGACUUUCACACACAAGAAAGGUUGGCCAAAUACAGGAGUGACUGGAAGAUUUUGGCAAAGAUAUUAAUUGGGAUUUUCCAUUCUCAGAGAAGCUGCAUGUGUUAAUACAGGAGUGAUACUCCGUCUCUAGGGUUCCUAGGGACGAAGAGUCUGCAAAGUAUGAAACUGAAAACGAACAUGCUUCCUAGGGAAUCACUAGAAUUCUAAAAAAAAAAAAAAAAAAAGUCAACUAGAGGCAGAACUGAACCAUUUCCUCUUUUGAAAUGUAAUACCACCUACCUCUCAGGCUCAGGGCUAUGAUGGAAGUAGAAUACAUAUGAAGAGGAUAGCACAGGGCUUAGAGUAGUGGGCAAAGAAUACAUUUAGUUGUCAGAACUAUGGUGCAGGAAAAGGCAUUUGCAGGAAGUUAAACCAAGUCAGUGAAACACCUUUGCUCCACAGAGAAAUACUCCAGUGCUUUCUCCAUUCUGGUCACAAAAAAAAAAAAAAAAAAAAUCAAGCAUUAUUAGGUAUAUGCCCAAACUCUAUGCCAUUGUCUCUGCUCUGCUUUUUGUCUGAAGUGCCUUCUUCCCACACUCUGUCUCCUUACCCUGUUUGUUGAAGUUCUUUAAUUCCCAAGGCUGUAGAGCACAAAGGCUAAGAGCACAGACUUUAUUAGGUUGCUAGAAUUCAAAUCCCAGCUCUGUCUCAAGCUGUUUGGACCUUAGGUAAGCUACUUAACCUUUCUGUUCUUCAGUUUCCAGUCUGUAAAGUGGGAAUAACAACACCACCCAUGUUUAAGAUUGUUGUAAUGAUUAAAUAAAUUAACAAGUAUAAAGUUCUUAUAACAGUGCAUCCUAGGAACUAUAUAAAAGGGUUUCUCUCAUAAUUUCAAAGGUAGGCUUGUUGUUUUGAUGGCUAUUGUUUUAAAUAUGUUGUUUCACAUUAUUUUGUUAUUAUGUUUAAUUCCAUAUCUUUCAGAAACUUCCCUAGAUCUAUCAGUCUAAAGAAAUCACAUUCUCAAAUUCAACUUAAGCAUAUUGGCCCAGAGACAGCCCUGGCUGUGGCUUGUGUGUGUGUGUGUGAAUAACUCCCUGCUGCACCAGCCUUGGAGUGCUAAGGGACAGAGCCUUGCUCUUCUAUUUCUGUAGACAUGGUCAGUGCACAUUAAAUGUGUGUUGAAUUAAAUGGAAGGUAUGUAAAUGUCUAAUCAUGAAUAAACCAGCACAUUUUUGACAGUAGCUAAUCAUACC
Molecule: long non-coding RNA, 1953 nt
Filed under: Marmota monax (woodchuck)
Lineage: Eukaryota; Metazoa; Chordata; Mammalia; Rodentia; Sciuridae
Source: RNAcentral